AGAGUUUGAUCCUGGCUCAGAAUCAACGCUGGCGGCGUGCCUAACACAUGCAAGUCGCACGAGAAAGUGGAGCAAUCCGUGAGUAAAGUGGCGCACGGGUGAGUAACACGUGAAUUAUCUACCUUCGAGUGGGGAAUAACUGAGAGAAAUCUUAGCUAAUACCGCAUAAUACCUACGGGUCAAAGCAGCAAUGCGCUUGAAGAGGAGUUCGCGGCAGAUUAGUUAGUUGGCGGGGUAAUGGCCCACCAAGACGAUGAUCUGUAUCCGGCCUGAGAGGGCGCACGGACACACUGGAACUGAAACACGGUCCAGACUCCUACGGGAGGCAGCAGUGGGGAAUUUUGCGCAAUGGGGGAAACCCUGACGCAGCAACGCCGCGUGGAGGAUGAAAUCCCUUGGGAUGUAAACUCCUUUCGAUAGGGACGAUUAUGACGGUACCUAUAGAAGAAGCCCCGGCUAACUUCGUGCCAGCAGCCGCGGUAAUACGAGGGGGGCGAGCGUUGUUCGGAAUUAUUGGGCGUAAAGGGUGCGUAGGCGGCCUGACAAGUCUGAUGUGAAAUCCCUGGGCUCAACCCAGGGCCUGCAUCGGAAACUGUCGGGCUUGAGUAUGGGAGAGGUGAGUGGAAUUUCCGGUGUAGCGGUGAAAUGCGUAGAUAUCGGAAGGAACACCUGUGGCGAAAGCGGCUCACUGGACCAUUACUGACGCUGAGGCACGAAAGCUAGGGGAGCAAACAGGAUUAGAUACCCUGGUAGUCCUAGCCCUAAACGAUGAUUGCUUGAUGUGGCAGGUACCCAAUCCUGCCGUGUCGAAGCUAACGCGAUAAGCAAUCCGCCUGGGGAGUACGGCCGCAAGGCUGAAACUCAAAGGAAUUGACGGGGGCCCGCACAAGCGGUGGAGCAUGUGGUUUAAUUCGACGCAACGCGAAGAACCUUACCUGGGCUCGAAAUGUACCGGAAUCCGGUGGAAACAUCGGCGUCUAGCAAUAGACCGGUAUAUAGUGCUGCAUGGCUGUCGUCAGCCUCGUGU
Molecule: ribosomal RNA, 1027 nt
Filed under: uncultured bacterium
Lineage: Bacteria
Description: bacterial SSU rRNA
Rfam family: Bacterial small subunit ribosomal RNA
Source: RNAcentral